Molecule: long non-coding RNA, 296 nt
Filed under: Lathyrus oleraceus (garden pea)
Lineage: Eukaryota; Viridiplantae; Streptophyta; Magnoliopsida; Fabales; Fabaceae
Description: Pisum sativum (pea) long non-coding RNA (PSAT_LNC025548)
Source: RNAcentral
GAAAGCCCAAGAGUAAGCUAUGUGAGGUUGAUGGCGAUGCUUAAAAGCAAUCGACUUACAAGGGUGUGAAAAUGGGCUCGACAUUGAAUCGAGAAAAAUAUGAUUUUUAUAGUUUUAAAAUGGUUUUGAAUGAAUGAUGAAAUUAAAAGAAAGCAGAUCAACCAUGAGUAUAAUAAAAACAUAAACAUAAAAUAAAAUGCUAAAAGAAAAUAAAAUGCUAAAAGAAAAAAAAGCUAAAAGAAAUAAAAUGCUCAAUACGGGUAUCGAACCCACUACACUAAAGACCAUAAAAAUCA